Molecule: ribosomal RNA, 520 nt
Filed under: uncultured bacterium
Lineage: Bacteria
Description: bacterial SSU rRNA
Rfam family: Bacterial small subunit ribosomal RNA
Source: RNAcentral
UGGGGAAUUUUGCACAAUGGGGGAAACCCUGAUGCAGCGACGCCGCGUGAAUGAUGAAGGCCUUCGGGUUGUAAAGUUCUGUCCUUGGUGAAGAUAAUGACUGUAACCAAGAAGCAAGCCCUGGCUAAAUACGUGCCAGCAGCCGCGGUAAUACGUAUGGGGCAAGCGUUGUCCGGAAUUAUUGGGCGUAAAGGGUACGUAGGCGGUUUACUAAGUCUGAAUUAAAAGGCAGUGGCUCAACCAUUGUAAGGUUUAGAUACUGGUAAACUUGAGUAGAUGAGGGGAAAGUGGAAUUCCAUGUGUAGCGGUGAAAUGCGUAGAUAUAUGGAGGAACACCUGUGGCGAAGGCGACUUUCUGGAAUCUAACUGACGCUGAGGUUCGAAAGCGUGGGUAGCAAACGGGAUUAGAUACCCUGGUAGUCCACGCAGUAAACGAUGAGUGCUAGUUGUCGGGGGUCAAACCUCGGUGACGCAGCUAACGCAUUAAGCACUUCGCCUGGGGAGUACGUACGCAAGUAUG